GGAGUUGUCAAUUAUACAUAUAUCUAUCUAUAUAUGCAAGCACUCUUACCCAAAUGCACACUAGAUAUGAAAAGGAAAUUAAAAAAUCCAUUUACAUUAUAUUUUCGUCAUGUUUAGUCAAAAAGACGACCACCUAACACAAAAACUUCUGUAACAUACUGAGAAUCAUCACCUAGCACAAAAAACUAUUGUAACAUACCGAGAAGCGAGAAUCAU
This 216-nucleotide long non-coding RNA is filed under the name Brassica napus (rape). RNAcentral describes it as "long non-coding RNA (BNAP_LNC015603)". The record is from RNAcentral. Lineage: Eukaryota; Viridiplantae; Streptophyta; Magnoliopsida; Brassicales; Brassicaceae.